UACGGAGGGAGCUAGCGUUGUUCGGAAUUACUGGGCGUAAAGCGCACGUAGGCGGCUUUGUAAGUUAGAGGUGAAAGCCUGGAGCUCAACUCCAGAACUGCCUUUAAGACUGCAUCGCUUGAAUCCAGGAGAGGUGAGUGGAAUUCCGAGUGUAGAGGUGAAAUUCGUAGAUAUUACGGAAGAACACCAGUGGCGAAGGCGGCUCACUGGACUGGUAUUGACGCUGAGGUGCGAAAGCGUGGGGAGCAAACAGG
RNAcentral lists this ribosomal RNA (254 nucleotides) under uncultured bacterium. RNAcentral describes it as "partial 16S ribosomal RNA". It matches the Rfam family "Bacterial small subunit ribosomal RNA", at positions 524 to 776 of the family's 1533-position model. The record is from RNAcentral.